Molecule: transfer RNA, 119 nt
Filed under: Halomonas ventosae
Lineage: Bacteria; Pseudomonadati; Pseudomonadota; Gammaproteobacteria; Oceanospirillales; Halomonadaceae
Description: tRNA-Gly
Rfam family: tRNA
About the family: Transfer RNA (tRNA) molecules are approximately 80 nucleotides in length. Their secondary structure includes four short double-helical elements and three loops (D, anti-codon, and T loops).
Source: RNAcentral
GCGGGAAUAGCUCAGUGGUAGAGCAUCGCCUUGCCAAGGCGAGGGUCGCGAUUCGGUGCGCCGGUCUGAUGGAGCGCCAGCCCGGCUGACGGCAGCCCCGUCGCAUCUCGUUUCCCGCU